Molecule: long non-coding RNA, 7528 nt
Organism: Pipra filicauda (Wire-tailed manakin)
Lineage: Eukaryota; Metazoa; Chordata; Aves; Passeriformes; Pipridae
Exons: 3
Source: RefSeq, a predicted model, not a curated record
UGGUGGCCCUGGCAGUGCUGGGUCGAUGGUUGGACUCGAUCUUAAAGGUUUUUCCAGCUGAAAUGGUUUGGUUUUCCAGCUUUGCUGUUGGGACAGUGGUCGUGCACCCUCAGCACAAAGAAAUGGGAGAAAACUGUAACUGGAACACUUGGAAGUAGCGAGGAGAGUUUGUGACUCUGGUGCUGUUCAGCCAGGAAGGAGAAAUUCAGUUUGUCCCACCCCUGGCACCCCCAUUUCUCUGGGUCUCUCUGUCCUGACUCAGCACAUGCCCUUUGCUCCAGCCCUGGCUGUGCUGAACCAGCCUGGGCACACAUGGCAUCGCCCUCUCCAGUCCCCCAAAAUCACCGACCAAGGGACCCAUUGCUCACUGCCUCGUCACCCAAACACCUGGGGGGUGUUGUAAACUGUCUGUGGUGGGGUUUAUUAGCUCAGGGCAGUCUGGGGGCCGGGGCUGGUGGGUUCCCAGUGCCCUGGAGGGUCUGGGCUGGCCGAGUCAUGGGCGUUGCUGUAACCACUGCCCAGCAUCACCUCCGUGGGCAAACCCGUGAGGCAGAGUUUCCCUUUGGAGAUUUACAUGCACGUGGAGCGGGAGUGUUGGAAAAAGGAGGAACUUGGCAUGGGGAUGAGAUACAGAUGUUGCAGCUGUGAGCCCUGGGCUGGGAACAGGCUCGGAGCUGAGCAGCUCCGUGUGGCUGCACGGUCGGGUCGUGGUGCAGAAAUCCCCUCCCUCGCCCACCAAUUUCUCAGCUAAACUCAUUAAAGAGACUCAGAAUUCCCAGCUGGAAUGAGAAUGGCUAUUUGGAGGUUCCUGGGGACAUGCAGAGGUGGUACCCAGGCUGGUCAAAAGUCUCCUUGGUCACGUCACCUGGGAUCUUAUGCUAAUUGUUAUCGCGGUUAAUUUUUUUCCAAGCUAAAGUAUAGAUGGAUAAUGAGGGGCAGAGAAAGGGGAGGGAAUGGCCUUGUUAAUGCUCUGUAGAGAUAAUGUUCCCUGCUUCUGGCUGGGGGGAGCUUUGCCAACAACAGGAGCAUCUUUCCCUGCUGAGAUGACACCCAUUGUUCCCUGGAAAACUGGGUUGUGGGACUGAAGUGUUCUCUUUCCUCUUUCCUUUGUGUUUCCUACUGUCUGUGCUAAUAUUUCGAUAGGUGACCCAGGUUUGCAGAUGUGGUUGUUGGGGUGGUUUUGUGCUGUUUGAUUCCAUCUGUGCCCUGGUUGUCCCAGUUUUUCAGCACCACAGCAGCCACCCCUGGGCUGGGGCAGCCAACAAGCACAGUUUGGGGCCGAAGCCAUCGGGUUUCCUGGUUUCCACCUGAGCUCAUAAAUCACCCCAGAGCUGGAUUAAAGCUUAGCUUGGAUUCACUGGCAGCUCUGCUGUUUUCACUGAACCUUGCAGUGAUUUGGAUGGGAGCUGAAGAUUUAUGCAUAUUUGCAGAGCCCACGGUUCCAGGUCACAGCUUGGACUGAGGCAUUACCAGGGAAUCAUUGCUUCCCCCGGCAUCUUUGGUGGCCUCAGCUGAAGCAAGAGGUUGCUUGGAAAAUGAGUCCAGUGCUUAUCUCCCCUCUGAGCCUCCUCCUGAGUAGUGAGAGACUCGAGAAAAACAAGCCCAAAAAUGCUGGUAUCAACAUUGCUCGGGAAAAAUGGGAUCUGUCCUCGUUCUUAACUUGGACAAUGUCAGAUGUAACAAUGCUGGGAAGGGCACAUGGGCAGAUCAUGAGGAGAAAACAAAAAGUGGGCUGAAUACAGGUUUUAUUUUGCUUUUCUGAUCUCAAGACAUGCAAACAGGAGUCAUAGAAACCCCAGCUCUGCGUCCCUGACUGGGCUGAGAUGAUACCAGUGCUUGGACUGGGGUGAUAUCCCCCAAAACCUCCUGCCCCAGGGUAAUCCCUCCCUCAGGAAAGAUGACUUGGAUCACCAGCUGGUUUCAGGAAGGAGAAACUUCAAAGUCUCACAAGGACCAAGAGCCUCUCCUGCUUUUGCCCUCACUCCUCGAAAUUCCAGCUGAUUUCCAGUGAUGUGAUUUCAACACUUCCCCUGGUGUGAGCCUGGGGGAUGGCACUGCCUGCAGCACCCCUGGCACAGACUUCAGGCUCUCCAUGGACCUUACCACCAUGUGCCUGGGAUGCUGGAAUGUGGGGUCAUCAAGUGAUUACAGUGGUUGUCCCUGUGCAAAGCUGACCCAGUGCCGGUCACUCGGCACCACAGACCCUCCAUUUUCACAUAUCCCAGAGGACUUCAGCAUCCAGGGCAAACAAGCUGUUGCAGAAGGUCAUGUUGGCAUCUAAUGCUUGACACGAAGCUUGUAAGUCACUGAUGAUGGGAUUCAUCGAGGGGAAGGGAAAGGAAACCUCCCUUCUCACUUCAUCUUGCUUUCCUCACACCCAAUCCAAGCUCAUCUCUGGGGUGCAGAAGGUGGAAACUUCACCCCAAGGAGGAAAGGCUGGGGGAAAGUGUCCCAGCGAUGAACACCCCUCCCGGUGAACCCCCAAUUUUUGGUCAAAGCUGUGCUCUCUGCUUGCAAGCUCAUUUUUAAGGGCUAAAUUUAGUGGCACGUCUUGCAAUGACGCGCGCGGAGGAGGAUUUUGGGAUGUCACAUGGAUCGGUCUCAUUCCUGCGUGGGAAACUUCCAGCCUCUGCUACUUUCACUGUCUGGAACAAACGAGCACCUUCCUGCUGAUGCCAUCAGAGCACGUGAGCACCAGCCAGCCCUGGCAAUGUGCCCGUUCUGGGGAGCUGGAGGAGAGCAAGGUUGUGUAACUCGCUGGCAAAGGUGUGUGUGUCUAUUUGCAAUCCAUUGUGGCCUGCUCACGGGUUUAGCUCCAGAUCAGGGAUGGGAUUUAGUCACCCACCUCUCUGUAACUACUUUGGUAUGGAGAUGUUUCAUUAUGUUUUGUCCUCAGCUAAGCUUGGUCCAUCCUUUUGUGCUUGUCACUGGCCGAGACUGGGCACAAAGAUGUGCAGCAGUUUCAAGCAGCUGCCAGUUCCUGGUGUUGGUCAGAUCUUCAUGUUUUCAGCUCAGUUGGCUGAUUUACAAGUGCUAAAGUUGGUGAUCUUGCAUUCAGAUCUAACCCAGCCUGAGUUCAUAAAAAUGGCACAGUCACUGCACUGCCAACAAGUGCCUUCAAGAAGGAAUGUCAGUGCUCUAAAACCUUCUAAUGCUACUUUUGUGCUGACAAUGACUCAUAAAAGCUGGAAACCUCCAAAUUCUUUGGCCAGGUGGGAUGUCCCACUGAUGCUUUGAGGGUCUCACACUUGGGUGAGACUUUGAGUCCCAUCAGCCCAAGGGAUGAGUGGGUGGGUGGAGUCUCUUCAAGAAGGUCCAUCCACUGUGGAAGGUGGUCUUAUGGAAUCGUGGAAUUGUUAAGGUUGGAAAAGACCUUUGAGAUCAUCAAUUCCAGCUGUCAAAUGUUUUUUUCCCAGCCAUUAAAUAUUUUUAGCAACCUCACCUUUAACCCCUCUAAUGCACAUCAAUUAAAACCUGAACAUACCAUACAACAACCAGGUAAGAGCAUGAGCAAGACCCCAGUAUUCUGGUUUUUGGGGCAGUUUCGUGGCCAGCUUUGGCAGCCUGUUUAGUGGUGCCCUGUGAAAUGCUGAGGGCACCAUAACAACUCUCUGGGAUUGUUUUUUUAGGACAUGAGGGUGACAAAGCCCCAGGAUAACUGGAUUUUCAGACUGUGUUCCCAUGGCCUCACCUGUAGAUAUUUCUCCAUGUGAACUCGUCAUCAGUGCAUCCCCAGAGACAAUCCCUCAGGGCAGCUGGUGGCAUCAGCCCCUUCUCCACUGCGUGUGUCACAAAUCAAGUCCCCACAAGCCUCAUCCAGCGUGACUCCAGCGUUACUCACCGUGUUUAUUUUCCAUCUGACUUUUGCUUUUUUUCCAUUGCUGCACCUUCAGCAGCAUAAAUAGAAAUGGAUUUAUUUUUUUUCUUGAAACUUUAGACUUUUACUUUGUGAAGUGACAAAAGAAAACUGCAGAGAGUUGAAUGCAUCUGGCAAAAUCUUCGCUUUAAAAAAAAAAAAGAAUCAUUCAACUUUGCAGGAUGUUUCCAAGAGAAUAUGGGAAAAUGGAUUAUCUGCUCCAUUUGAAAAGGAAUUGCCUCUAAUUGACAAGAUGCAGAGGGGAAACUGUUGCUCUUAUUUAAACACAGCCCAAACCUGCAGCUCAUAAACUUAUUGUUAAUCUCAGGCUUGUGGUUCCUGCUCCUUUUCACUUUUCAUUUCAAAUCUAUUUGGGUUAUUUUUUUUUCCCCUUUUUUUGUCAUGCCCAACUCCUUUUCUGUCUCAGGUAAGUGGUCAGCUUUUCAAAACUUGUGUCCUCUUGCAUCCAGAAUCUGUGUUGUUGCACCAAAAUAUCCCAGGAUCACUUGGAUAUUUUGGAGGCUGCUGUUCAGGCACCUUCUCUGCAGUAUCUGGUCCAGGUCACACAGGGGCUGCUGCAAGCUGGAAUUACCCAUGAUUCCAGGUCAAAUGUCAUGGAAGGUCUCUGAUCCUACAGACAAAACACUCACAGCAUUUAGAAGGUGAGGAAGACGCCUCCAGUUAAGGUCUCAGAGGUGAAAAAAACCCCCCAUAUUUCCUUUUAAUUGAAUUUGGAAACUCCGCCUUCCCAAAAAAAGUCAAAUCAAACCCGAGGUGCAGGUCGGUGUGAGACAGAGCAGGGUGUUAAACAGGCAACCCACGUCAGCAAGGAGCUGGCUCCCAGUCAGGCAUCCACCUGGAAUCCCUGGGGGCAAGGAAGGAGGCUCCGGGAACGUGUUGGGACAAACAGAGCGGAGCCAUCCCGGAGAGGAGCUGCCACCCAACCAGGGAGUCGGGAGAGCGCCUUUGGAGCCACCCAAACGUCUCCUGUUUGAUCCCUUCCCACCAGGAGCAGGAUGAAAAUGUUCAUGCCAAGAAAUCUUCCCUCACCCCCCUCACCCCAGCAGGUUUGUUAUCCUAAUUGACUUACGGUGCUGAAUUAACCUGCUUGGAAAUGUGAUUGGCACCAGGAGUUUUCCACUGUGUGACAGACUUUAUAAUAAAGAAUUGGAGGAAUCAUAAAUAGCAGCAGUAUUAGAUCACUGGUGCUCAUGAACUCACCUUGUUUAGGGAAUGGUGUGGAAAAGAGGGUUUUCUCUUUGAUGGUGCAUCCUUAGAAACCGUGUCUGUGUUACUCUUUUGCCACAAUUAUUGUUUAUAAGAACUUCUGCUUCGUCAAAAAAAGAGAAAAACCCCCCCAAUUAUAAUAAAUCCACUUCAGUGUUUUCCAUAAGCUCCUAGCCAAGUUGGCCAAGAACUAAGGGAAGGAGCAGGGAAAAAAAAAGGUAUAUAUUGUAUACUCACUUAAAACUUGGCUAGAAAUGACCUUUUAUUGUCUUUUUUUUUUUUUUUUCCAUGCCCAACUUGGCUCCUCGAGCCAAACUCACUGCCAGCUUUCUAUGGUGUGUUAUUUUCCUAUGUGUUAAAAAACAUUUAAAAAGCUGCCCCACACGGGUUCUACAAAGGUUUUGCACGGGCAGGGGUGGAGAAGCCUGGCUUUGAGAGCGUCGUCGAUGAAGAUUCCCGUGAUAAAACCUGGAUAUUUAUUGUCUGGUGGUUUUUUUUUGGUUUUUUUUUGUGGCUCUUUUUAUUGCCCCCCCUGCUGCUCCUCGUGCAGCCCAACAUGGCAGGGUCUCCAAAUGGGCUGUGCUGACAAAUGCAGCUGGAGACAGCCAUGUGAUGUUAAUAUAAACCUCCUCUGGCAGCUUGGAGAGGCACCAGGAAAUCUCCGGAGUGUUUCCCGCCGCUCCCGGCUCCGCUCGGUGCCACUCGGCCCCUGGGCCCGCGGGCUGGGUCACCACAACAUGUGUCCUCUUGUGUCUGAGCACAUCCCUGGCUUUUCAUACAGGGAAAAAAACCCCAAAAAACCCAAACCAAACGAUUCUGGGUUCCGAAAACCAACCCCCCAAAGGAGUUCCUGUCAUUCCGGCUCAUCCGUGAGCGUCCGGCUGCGGAGUCAUGCCAGAACAAAAUCUGCAGCAAUCUUUACAGCUGAAGGGUAUUUUCUCUUGGAAUCCCUCAUUAAAAGCACCACUUUGGGAUAAAUAUAAUGACCAAAGUCUCAAGCAUAUUCUUAUUUGGGAUCAUUUCAUCUUAGAAAGGAAGGAAAAUGAUUUAAAGCUUUGAUACAAUUCUUCUUGUGGUCGUGCACUUUAGGUUUGUGUUUCACUGAAUUUACUUCAGAGACAUGUUUAACUUCUUUUCUUUUUCAAUUUUUUUUUUUUUUUUGAUAUUUAAUUUCAUUUUUGGUUUUUAUGCAGCCCCACAAUGUUGUUUUUGUGGUGAGCUGCCGUGGUGUUACCAAUGCAUCUGAACCACUGCAGGCAGGAAGGCAGCCACUUGAAAGCAACAAAGAGGGCAAGUCUGCCCCAGCUUUUAUUUCCUGUAUGCAUUUUGCCCUCUCUAAAGUUACACAGAGGGUAAAUCUCUCAGAUCUCCUGAUCCUGCAGCUGCUUAUAAGUACAUUUAAUUUUAUGAUGCAGCAGCACAAGCUGAAUGCAGCUAUAACACAGAAGUACAAGCUCUAACUUUUGAAUGUCAUUUAGAAAUCCAGCGAUGGAAAAGGAAAUAAAAGUGAUAUUUCUGUGUGUUGUGCAGUUUUGGGGGUUUCCAGGUCUCUCAACUCAGACUCCCCAGGUUCCUCGACGAUUCCAGAGAGCAGAUGGACAGUUGGGCUCAAUGACUCUUGUGGGUCCCUUCCAGCUCAGGAUAUUUUGAGAUUCUAAGAUUUUGAGUCUCACCUUGCCUGGCAUCUCUGCAGCAGUGAAAGGAACUCAACAGAAGCUCUUCCCUGUGGAUCAGCCCUUACCUUUCCCCUGCUCAGAGACUGCAGAAAGCCAGAAUCAAUCAGCUAACUGAAGGAUUUAUAUUGGAACUGGAUCCCCAUGGAUCAGAACUGGAAUAACACCUCCAUCCCUGCCCGAAUCUUCCCGGCCUGACCUUUCACAAUCUCCACUUCCUGACCAACGACUCCAAAGAAAAUAGAGCUGCUCGUUGGCAUUUAAUGGAAACCUGCACAAAACUUGUCAAAAUACCCCCCUCCACCCCUGCCAGCUGCCUGGGACAAGACCCCUACAGUAGUUUCCAGAAACCCUGUGCAAUUACUUACAUUUUAAAUUAUCUUUAAUUGUCGCAUGUGAGCCGCAGAAACAUUUUUUCCCCACUCUCAGGCAAGACCUCGCUAUUAAGAGUCACCCCAUAAUUGCAGGUUUAAUGGGGGGCUGUGGCAGGUCAGGCCUGAGGGUGAGCCCAGGGCACAGCGAGGCGAGGGCGGCUGCAGGGCCCAGUGACUGGGGGUGACACAUCACCAUGGGCCCAUCAAUUACCUGGGGGCAGCUGGGAGUGUAAACUUUUUAGCCAAUCUAAUUACCCUGCCAGAUGUUUUAAUCCAAUCUCCUCGCCCCUCCCCUGCCAGCAAACGCUGCAUUGUCUGAGCUCCCGGGAUUAAAAAGUCGCUUUUUAAUUUUUUUAACCAAGAGUGAACUUCUUGAGGUUUUGUGGUGGUUUGUUUUU